RNAcentral lists this transfer RNA (74 nucleotides) under Flavobacteriales bacterium. Its description in RNAcentral is "tRNA-His". It matches the Rfam family "tRNA". From Rfam's summary of the family: Transfer RNA (tRNA) molecules are approximately 80 nucleotides in length. Lineage: Bacteria; Pseudomonadati; Bacteroidota; Flavobacteriia; Flavobacteriales. The record is from RNAcentral. RNAcentral also lists the same sequence under 1 other name.
GUGGCUAUAGCUCAGCUGGUUAGAGCACUGGUUUGUGGUACCAGGGGUCGUGGGUUCGAACCCCAUUAGCCACC